Molecule: transfer RNA, 72 nt
Filed under: Hypselecara temporalis (emerald cichlid)
Lineage: Eukaryota; Metazoa; Chordata; Actinopteri; Cichliformes; Cichlidae
Description: tRNA-Trp
Rfam family: tRNA
About the family: Transfer RNA (tRNA) molecules are approximately 80 nucleotides in length.
Source: RNAcentral
AGGGGCUUAGGAUAGUACUCAGACCAAGGGCCUUCAAAGUCCUAAACGGGAGUGAAAAUCUCCCAGCCCCUG